CAACUCACCUGCCGAAGCAACUAGCCCUGAAAAUGGAUGGCGCUCUAGCGUCGUGCCUAUACCGGGCCGUCAACGGCAAAGUGGGCCGCAGCCCGGCCGGUUAACGCCGGCCGGCUCGGCCGUUAAGCCUUGACGAGUAGGAGGCGCGCGGCGGUGUGCGCAGAAGGGUCUGGGCGUGAGCCUGCCUGGAGCCGCCGUCGGUGCAGAUCUUGGUGGUAGUAGCAAAUACUCUAGCGAGGGCCUGGAGGGCUGAUGUGGAGAAGGGUUUCUUGUGAACAGCCGUUGCACAAGAGUCAGUCGACCCUAAGCCCUAGGAGAAAUCCGAUGUUGAUGGGUAGCGAUCUCACCAGUGUGCUGACUGCUCCCGUCGGGCGAAAGGGAAUCCGGUUCCUAUUCCGGAACCCGGCUGCGGAACCGUCACUUCGCGGGCACUCGCCUGCGAGCGCUCGUCGGGGUAACCCAAAAUGACCCGGAGACGCCGGCGGGAGGUCUGGAAAGAGUUGUCUUUUCUUUAUAAGCGUUCGAGUUCCCUGGAAUCCUAUAGCAGGGAGAUAGGGUUUGGAACGCGAAGAGCACCGCAGUUGCGGCGGUGUCCGGACCUUCCCCCCGGACCUUGAAAAUCCGGGUGAGGGCUACGCGGAAUGUCGCGCCGGCUCGUACCCAUAUCCGCAGCAGGUCUCCAAGGUUAAGAGCCUCUAGUCGAUAGAAUAAUGUAGGUAAGGGAAGUCGG
This 730-nucleotide ribosomal RNA is filed under the name Mycterodus drosopoulosi. RNAcentral's name for it is "partial large subunit ribosomal RNA". It matches the Rfam family "Eukaryotic large subunit ribosomal RNA", at positions 1286 to 1917 of the family's 3401-position model. Lineage: Eukaryota; Metazoa; Arthropoda; Insecta; Hemiptera; Issidae. The record is from RNAcentral.